This 98-nucleotide transfer RNA is filed under the name Rubrivivax sp. Its description in RNAcentral is "tRNA-Val". The record is from RNAcentral. Lineage: Bacteria; Pseudomonadati; Pseudomonadota; Betaproteobacteria; Burkholderiales; Sphaerotilaceae.
AGGAUGUACACCGCAGCGGGGAAAGUUAUUACGAAUCAACGAUCUGCACCACCUUGACAUGGUGGGGGUCGUUGGUUCGAGUCCAAUCGCGCCUACCA